UGAUGUAGAGAGAGCUGGUUGGUGAGGAUGCUCAGAGGAUGGAUUGGUGUGCCGGGUUGGGCUGGUGUGUUGGCCAACUCAACACACCAGCUCAACCGGAUCCUGGUCCGUGAUUCUUGACGCCAUCCGCCCACCCCUCGGAUGUCACCAGUCUUCGCUUACCAGGAUCACCACCCGAACACGCCAAGCCAUCCCAACACACCAAGCCAUCCCAACACGCCAAGCCAUCCCAACACGCCAAGCCAUCCCAACACGCCAAGCCAUUCCAACACGCCAAGCCAUCCCAACACGCCAAGCCAUCCCAACACGCCAAGCCAUUCCAACACGCCAAGUUUAGUAUCAAUCCCACCAAGGAGGUUAAUCCAAGGUCAGCAAAUGUUAAGUAUUAAUCCCACCAAGGAGGUUAAUCCAAGGUCAGCAAAUGUUAAGUAUUAAUCCCACCAAGGAGGUUAAUCCAAGGUCAGCAAAUAUUAAGUAUUAAUCCCAUCAAGGAGGUUAAUCCAAGGUCAGCAAACGUUAUAAGACCCACUCGGGUGAUCAGUCCGGGUGAGCCUGGACCUGACAACCACGGAGCGAGACGGUGGUACCAGUCCGUCAGGCCACCGUAGGGAGGUCUGAGGAGGGAGGACAGUGUUCGUGACCGGGGUGUGAAACAGGAGCCACCAGUGCUGUGGGCCGAUGUUGGUGUAACCUGUGUCAUUGGCUCUCAUUUGCCUCGACAUUCUGACUCACAGAUAUGUUGCAUCACUAACCACAUGAUUAAGGAGUUUGUCUAUGAGGGCAAUGGUGGAGGACAUGCUCUGCUACAAGGAGCUGUACGUUAAAAAGAAGAAGGAGGUGUGCCAGACAAUAAUCACCUCCUUUUUCAAACCCUGCCACAGUCAGAGCCAUUGCCAUAGACUUCUGACACCUCUCCAGUCCCACCCAGGAACUUCACCCUCUUUAAAGCCAGGCCGAAGCCUACACCUCCAGCCCCCAAAGUAGAAGCCCCUUCUAAGACUCCGACUCCCACUCUGUCUCCAGCCUCGCUGGACUCCCCAGAGAUUGUGUCGGAGUCAGAGUGACAUUUCCACUCCACCUACAAGAGACCCCUUGGCCUUAAAGAGGACAUGUGAUGAUGACCAGACUUAUUUUUCAGGAUGUGAUGAGUGUUGUUUAAUUGUUUUGUACUGACAGUAGUAUUGUAGGAAGUGUUUUGUCAGUGAUACAUGUGUGUUUGGGGACUGACUGGGAAUAUAUCCCAUUGAACCCCGUGUUAUAAUGCUCCCUAUCUAUGAUAAUUCACUUAACAAUGGAUUUUUCAGGAACUUAACCCCAUUGUUUAUGAGGUUUACCUGAACUUGAAUUUCACAAGCACUGGGGUAUGGUGUGUGAUACCAGCUGUAUGACAUGAUGGGGUUAACCAGAUGGAUAUUUUGGCCUUUGAUGUGGUAGUUGGUACCAAGGACAAGACUACAGUAUUUGCAAUUUUAGCAUUUAUGAAUCUUCUGAAGAUUAGGCCCCAACAAUGCUCACCCCAGUUUAACCAGCCUGAACUUUAACCACCAUUAAACUAUCUGAAGGCCAAUCUUCAUGUGAUCUCUAAAGGCUAAAAUUGUGAAUGGUUUUGUUAAUAAUCUUGACAACAUCACUGAUCUUGUAAAAAUGGUCACCAUUGUAGAAUACCUCCAGUAAGACAGCUUGAAGAAACAUGUGACAAUAAAGGAGUGUGUGUGUGUUGUUCUUCAUUAUGGCUCCAUGAGUAAAAAAGAAACUUGGAAGUAGUAACAUACAAAUACCAUUCUGAUUUUAAUUGUCAAUGAUUUCCCAUCUUCUACCAUUGCCUCAAACCUCUUAUAACUAUUUUCCCUUGUUCAGGAUUAUUUUAGUAAAUAAAUGGCACUUAUAACUUAAUUAGACCUGAGUUUAUAGUCUCCGGCAUAAACAGUUCUGACAUUUUUUAUAUAAAACAAUUGAGACCCCAUCAUUAUACUGUAUUGUUGUUUAAGGAUCUUUUAUUAAAACUGUCUUGUAGAAAAUAUAUUCAGAAUCAUUAAGAAACCAAAUUCUUCUCUCUAACACGAUUAGGACAGAUGCUGUGGAAAUAUUUUUUUUAAAGUACCUCUACACUUUUUUGCAAGCUAUAAAUAUUUUUGCUUGUGACCGCAGCCUAAAUGUAAUGGGAGAGUGUUUGCCCAUGUGAGAUGAGUAGUUUAGUCGUUUAGACUCUCGGAAAACUUUCCCUAGAACCUGGAAACAUUCUGGGGAUGUGCAAUUUUACUUUUAUCCUCUUAGCCACUGAUCGGCUCAUUAGCCGUUUGGGCGGUUACAUGCUGCUGGCAAGUACUGGGCAUGCACUGGCUCUUGAAUAUACCUGAAC
Molecule: long non-coding RNA, 2359 nt
Filed under: Homarus americanus (American lobster)
Lineage: Eukaryota; Metazoa; Arthropoda; Malacostraca; Decapoda; Nephropidae
Description: uncharacterized LOC121860198, transcript variant X1
Source: RNAcentral